UACGUAGGGGGCAAGCGUUAUCCGGAUUUACUGGGUGUAAAGGGGGCGCAGACGGCAGCGCAAGCCAGGAGUGAAAGCCCGGGGCCCAACCCCGGGACUGCUCUUGGAACUGCGCGGCUGGAGUGCUGGAGAGGCAAUCGGAAUUCCGUGUGUAGCGGUGAAAUGCGUAGAUAUACGGAGGAACACCAGUGGCGAAGGCGGAUUGCUGGACAGUAACUGACGCUGAGGCGCGAAAGCGUGGGGAGCAAACAGG
Molecule: ribosomal RNA, 253 nt
Filed under: uncultured bacterium
Lineage: Bacteria
Description: partial 16S ribosomal RNA
Rfam family: Bacterial small subunit ribosomal RNA
Source: RNAcentral